UGUGAGAUCAUGACCUGAGCCGAAGUCGGAGGCUUAACCAGCUGAGCCACCCAGGCGCCCCUCCAAAUAUUUCCAAUAUUGUUAGAGUUUGAGGUAAAAAGUAAGCAGAGGGUAGGGGGAAUGAGACCAUUUCUUGGGGACAUCUUACAAUUUCAGGAGACUGAUGCACCUGCCAACAGGGAAUCUCUGACCCUAAGUCUUCCCAGCAGGCCCUUGGAGGAGUGAAGAGCUAGCUUUCUACCUCACUUCUGUUACUACCAUCCUCUCCCCCAGGCUUUGCUGCCUCCUGUGCUUUCCUUUACGUUCCACAGCUGCUCUUCCUUCCCAAGAAUGGUGUUCUCGCCUGCUGUUUCUCACAUUCAAGAUGAGAGGCAAAGCCUGGUGCCAAGGCUCAGUCCUCAUGAAGGAUUUGCGGUGCUAAUCCCAGCUGAGCAAGCGUGGCCUGGCCCGGCCCAGUGUCUGUCUUAGCAUAUAGCAAAAAGAUUUUAAAUUUGGGAGAGAAGAAUUGUAAACCAUGGCUAGCCUCAGUCUGUGCCCCCAACUCAUCUGAAAUAGGAGGGAACCACCUCUUGCCUUAACCUUUACUGUUUUCUGAGGGCAGAGGAAUGGGCACCUGCACCACCAAGUGUGUCAGCUCAGGAGCCGGGUUCCUCCAGUGGUUGAAUGGUUUAUCGCUUCUCUCUUGUUGAGUUUACUCUUGAUACUUUUUAUUGAUUGCUGUCUUUUACUUCUGUGUCUAAUCUAAACAGACCUUUCUCCCACUUUUUUUUUUACUCUCACCAAUGAAUUAUUUUCCCCCUUUUAUUUAAAUGCAAGUUAGUUAAUAUAUAGUGUAAUGAUGGUUUCAGGAGUAGAAUUAGUGAUUCAUCAGUUUACAUCCCACUCACCAAUGAAUUCUAAUGAAGAGAAAGCACCGUUUCUUACUGUCAUUCAGUAACUGGAAAAUAAUCAAGUAUUGCUACCUGCUGACUUGUAUCUUUAGUGUAAUGCCAAGAAGGAAGUGCUUUGAGUAAGUGUUGGAUUCUGAUCCAGUAUUUGGUAUUGGAUUCCUGUAAGGUUGGGAUAAUUAUUUGGAACUCCACCUUUUAAAAUAUUUUCUGAUCCUUGCUGUCCCUUUAACACAAGGCAUUCAAAGCAGAAUGAGGCUCAGAAUCCCCCAGGGUCCUUGUUUAAAACAAGAUUGCUAAACUUCAGUCCCACAGGUAAUUCUAAUAAUCAUGGCCAAUCUGGCCAGCUAAAAUUAUAAACGUAAGGUAUAGUUCCAUCACGACUGAGCUAUAUCAUUGAAUUCUGUGAUUUCUAGUAUUCUGCCCUCCAGCACAGCCCAGUCUUCAUCUCGGCCUAGUGCUCCCACUCUGCCAGCCCCCUUGGCUGUGCGUUGUAAGCCCACCCUCUCAGCAGCACCAGGGACUGGUUUUACACUGGAGCUGGAGAAGGGAGGAGGCCCAUGCUGAAGCUCACAUCUCCGGGGGGGUCUCUCCGUCAUACUCCCCCUGCACGUGCCCGGAGGGGCUUUUGGUUGUUCCCGCUCGUCAGGAUCGGGAUAUUACCCUAGCAGUCUUCAUGCUCAGGCAAGUCACAGCCCUUUUUAGAAAGUUUUAUAAUUUCAGAUUAUUUAGAAAUUGUAUCCGAUUUUCCCAUAACAGAACUUAAUAGCUAACUUUUUGUAGAAAUUACUUGAAGUGUUUCAUCAACUAUAAAUGAUAUUCCUAUAAAGUGUUUAGAGGUAUCAAUUAGUAUGACACAGAAACCCAUCUUAAGUGGAAUUUAAUGCCCUACAGUAUCAGAUUAAAUUCAUCUUUGUGACUCAUGUCUUAUUUUUACUAGGUCACAUUAGAAGAUACGGGCACUUUGAUUAAGUUCCUAAAAUUUACAGAGGUACCAGCUUCCAGUUAUAAAAUAAAGAAGUCACGGGUGAAAAGUACACAAUGGAGGGGAGGGCGUGUACUGAGGCUCAUUUGGAUAAAGGCAGUGUUCCUAAAGGCUUUUUUUUCCUGAAGACCUUUGUGAUACAAUAAUCUGAGAAUUUCUCUGUAGAGCAGAGACUGAAAAUUUUGGUUGUAACUCAUGACAAAAAAAAAAAAAUGCAUUUAUAGCAAAAUUCAGCAUAUUCAUAAUGGAACAUUAUGUGAAGGGUACUCUGGUGCUUUUUAUUGUUUCAGUUUUUAUGUCAUUUUUUUUAUAGUUUAUUGUCGAGUUGGUUUCCAUGUAACACCCAGUGCUCGUCCCAACAGGUGCCUCCUCCACGCCCAUCCCCCUUCCCCCUCCCCCUCGUUUCAGUCUUUAAAAUAUGCUGGUUGUGACCUACCAGAUUGAUUUCAUAAUCUACCAAUUGGUUGCAGCCCUUAGUUUGAAAAGAAGAAAACACCCUAAUGGAGGAACUGAUAUUUAUUGAAUAUCUUUUGUUUUCUAGGCAUUUUACAGGUAAGGAAACUGAGCCUCAGAGAAGUUAAAUUUAUUCAGUUGUAAAAAGUUGAAGCCAGGAUGGUCACUAGGUCUCUUGACUACAGACACCUCUGUUCCUCUCUCACUAGCGCUACUUCUGGGUGUAAACUUGAGGUGGGGCCUUCGUCCUGCCUCGCCCAAACCCGGCACGCUCUCGGGGGCAGGCUUGCUGUGAAGUUACACAUGCCAUUCUUUUGCAGUGUUUGUUUGUUUGUUUUUCUUUUUUAGAUCUUUUGUCACAAGGUGUCCCACAGCUUCAGAGUUUUUAAUAGUGGCUGAUACAGAAGUGCCCAGUGCUGAAUUUGGUCCUUAGACUAUAAAAUUAAAAAUGUUUUCAUCCCACCUGCACAUCCUACAAAUUUUCUGGUAUUCCAUGGAUUAUAGCCAUUUCUUAAGCAGUGCUUUUUUAUAUUAAAAAUUAGCUUACAGCAAAAUCUGUCAUAACACACAGAAUCAAAUGAUUACUCUUCUUUAAAAUGGUACCCUUGGGAGGCCAUGCACUUAUUGUAGUGACGCUAGUAUUACUUAGAACAUUUUUGAAACUUUUCUUUUAGAACUGUCUCCAGAGACUCUGUAAACCACAUAGGAAAGCCGCCUCGGUGUUUGUCAGUCACAAAUUGCACGCCCUCGUCCUUACGACCUUUCCUCUCUCCCAGACUCAGUUUUGCUUUUCUUUUGCUGGCUUAGCUCUCCUGCUGCCCUCUUCUGGAGCCAGUAGCCUGAGCAUGCCCAGAAAAGGGGGUAUGCUGGCCAGAAUUCCCAGAGCAAGAACCUUUAGUUCAUACUGAGGUUGAAUGCUGCAAAGGGAGAACCCUGUGAGUCCAAAAACCUUUCUCUGUGGGCUGCCCGCCUGUGAGUGUCCUACGUGGUUUGCACAGGAGUAAGGACUGAAUACUGGUAAUAUCAAUCACAGCAAGCUGAGGAAGCCUGCACUAUACAUAAAUCGUGUACAUUUUCCUCCGGUGAAGAACAGAAACCAAACCAAGCCAUGCUUUGUGUUAACUUAAAACUGAAAGAUCUUUCUCAGGGUCCCCUUUGCCCUUCAUUGCUGCCACUUGAAAUCUGGGAGGAAGAACGGUGAAAAGCCUGGGAAAAAAUGCUCUCCUUUGAAGUGGACAUGUUCUUCUCUUGUAAUCAAGUGCAGUGUGGCCUUGGCUCUCAGGUACUUACGAGUAUUAGACAAUGUUCGUAAGUAGACGACUCAUAAAAGGUAAGAAAGCUUACCUGGUAGCCUAAAAUAAUGUAAACAGUCGACGUUCUAUUUGUGUUUUUAAUCCUUCAUUUUAUUUCUAGCAAGUGGUUCUCAAUUUUUAUAUUCAUUAAUUUGACACCAUUUUACAGAGAAACUUCUUGAGUACUAUAAACAAUCUGGCAAAAGGUCCAUAUAUUAUCAACAUUGCCACCCUAAAAGAAAAUAUUUAUUUUUGGAGACAAUAAAUAUAUCUGUAUGAAUUUAACAAAAGAAAUAGAAUAAAAGUGUGAAAAGGUGUCAGAGGCAUGAUGUGCCCAAGGUCAAAGCUAAUUAGCACCACAGCUAGAAUUAUAACCAAGGUCUAAGAAAAAAAUUCUCAAGGUAGUUUAACUGAGGCUUUGAUGGCAUAUUAAGUUGCAUGCUGAGCCUUGUGGUCUUUCAGACCAGCUUUAACAUUCCAAAUCAGGCAAUAGCGACAGUGGAAAGAAAAUUGGAUGGGAAAUCAGGACAUCAGAGGCUAGUUUUGGCUUUAUCUCUGCCAUAGUAAGUUUUUUCUCAGGGGUGGCUGCCUUGUCCUGCUCCAGCCAGGGAUUCGCCAACCGUAAACCUUAGUAGUUAGCGACUUGACACUCUCCAUUCUUUAUAUUUAGCCACUUACUGGGUCUUGUCAGUUCUACUUUGAGUAUUAGUUUGCAUCUAUUUCUAAAUAUAUUCAUGGUCAUCACUCUAGUAAAAAACUGUAUUACCAUGCACCCCCUACCUCAUUUUCCCCAGCGCUAAGCCAUUCCUCACAUCACUGCCACAAGACUGAGAACCAGGUCCCUCUUCCAUUUUUCUGCUGGAAUCCUGUCAGUGGCUCCCACUGAGCACUUGAUAAAGCUCAGAUCCCUUAGGGCGGCCUUCACAGCUUGCCGUAUUCUAGCCCCAGCUUUCUCUCUUCAAACUCAACUGCUCCCCAUCUAACAAUGCCCCUGAGAUUCAGGCAUUCCGCAAAAACGAUUUUAAGGUUUUUCUGUGAAGUUACAAACUGGUAAUAAACUCUUUACAUUUGUCCAGACGGAAGUAAUUUCUGUAAUACUACAUUUUACAGCACGAGUCAGCCUAAAAGUUGUUUCUUAAGGAAAACCUUUUUGUCCCCGCAGCAGAAAUGACAUUCAGUUUCUUAACCUCCAAGACAAUGUCAGUCCUGUAGCCUGUCUGAUAGCCAAAGCAUGGGGACUUUUCUUCAGCAGCAUCGAUACUCCAGGCUUGAAGGGACCAUUGUCGAGCUCCUUUGGGAAACUUGACUAAUACAUAUUUGAGAAAAACAACUCAAGAGUACAUGUUAUUCUUACAUUGCUCAAGUACUUGAGAUGUUCUUGUAUUAUGGUUAAUCAUUAAAAAGAUGUUUACCUGGGUUUUAUUGAUUAAAUCCCCUAAAGAUAUUUUCCAUUUUAUUGUUAAACUCUUAAUGUUAGCAAGGGUCAGCACAAGAAAAGCCCCAAUGGUGAGAAUUUCUACAAAUUCUGUAAAGCUUACUGAAUUCAUUAUGUUGAGUGGUGCUUGUAUAAGGAAACAUGCAAUAAAAUUCAUUCAACAAACAUUGAACUGAAUGCCUGUUGUGUGUUGAGUGCCAGGGCCAUAUAUAGAGAAAUAUUAGACCUAUAGAAUCGACCCUUGUAAACCAUUCCGGCUAAUAAAUGAAUUCAGAUACGUAAAGCGAGUAAGUCACAGCAACACAUGGUAAGUACCUUAAACGAACAAAGACGAAAUGAUUUGCUCUGCCUGGAAAAGGGAAAGGCUUGGUGAGGCACGUGUUACCUGAGCAGUACGUGCAGGAAGGAUAUGCCUGACUGAACACAGAGUCGUGGCCUUUGAGGUGGCAGGGGAGCUGCAUGUACACUGGCCUGGAAACAUGAAAGAGCAGAGGCUGCUUGCAGAAAACCAAGGAAUUCUAUGUUGCAAGCGAUGAAGCUGGUAGGAUGGACAUACAGGGAGAGUGGUAUUACAUGUUUUGAACUUAAUAAUUCUUUGUUUAAAGGAAUCAGUGGAUUGCCUUGUAUCAGAUUAAGACUGUUAACAACCCUCAGAGUUCCUCGUUUUGCCUUCCUGGCCAGGGAAGUUGGUAAUAAACCUCACCUUUGCCAGGCUUCUCAGUAUCUGGCGUAUUUGCUUUCCUUUCCCACAUGCAAGAAGUGAUUUGUGUUUUCUUGCCUCCCUGCUGUGAGGGCCUCUGCUUCGUAUUGAAUGCCUGCUUUCUUCCUGUCCUGCUCUUCAUUCCGUAAAUAUUUAUUGAAAACCCACUGAGAAAUACUCAUGAAAUUUUCCUUUUACUGUCCAAGACUUUCAUGGUCCAGUUUUCCAUCUCUAUAGGAGUAUUUCUUGGCCACUGCAGCUCACUGGCUCCCAUUUUCACUUGUGGCUAAUUCUGCGAUGUUCUACAACUUCACGGCUAUAAACUUCUAUUGUUCUUGGUCAUAUGGUCUCCCCGACUAGACUGUAAGCUGCUUUCAGGGCUUAUCACCUCCUUCUUGGAGAAUUUCAUGGCAUAAAUUACAGUGAUGAGAAGGGGGAAGAAAUGAUACCCUCUUCCCCAAGUAGUGACUUCCAGAUGAUCAAUGAUGUGGUCAUAGCGUAUGUGUUGCUCCAUCUUUCAGGGAUCUGUAUGGAAAUGUGAAAAAGCCUCUAAGACCUUUCAAACCUUUGCUCAAUACUCACUUUUGUAUAUUAACCUAGGAAUGAGUGGUGCAACAGAAGAAAUCUGGAAAAUACCUCCAGCACUUGGGAGCCAUGAAGUGAAAAUUUCAUAAUUUGGAGGGUGGUCAUGAAGAUUAAAAUAAUACAUGUUAAGUGCCUGUAAUGGACCUUGGCUCAUAGUAAUUGCACAAAUAUUUGGUCCAUCCUCUGACUUCAAGGCUACAACUUUGAUUUCAAAGGUAUUGAUCAGAAGCAAUGAACUGAACAGAACUCAGACUCAACACUGAGGAAGCUCUGUCCUGCUCUUCCAGUAAACAGCCUGAUUUUCAGGAGCAGAAACUCAAGCCUGUGCAAGAGCUUUAUGGUUCCUCUUCAAGGCUCACCGAAAAAGAAGAAGAGUUCCCACUGAGAAACCAGAGUCCUACCUGUCCUGGGGCUACAUCGGUUGGGUCUGGACCAUGAUGAAAUUCUCUGUGCAAUUUUCCAGAAUGUAAGUCAAAUACAAACUGCUUGAGUUUCCCAGGAAUUCUAAAACCAAAGUAAAAUAAAAAAAUUUGGCUUAA
Suricata suricatta (meerkat) is the source of this 6876-nucleotide long non-coding RNA. RefSeq lists it as uncharacterized. The transcript has 4 exons. The record is from RefSeq and is a predicted model, not a curated record. Lineage: Eukaryota; Metazoa; Chordata; Mammalia; Carnivora; Herpestidae.